Molecule: microRNA precursor, 90 nt
Organism: Anolis carolinensis (green anole)
Lineage: Eukaryota; Metazoa; Chordata; Lepidosauria; Squamata; Anolidae
Product: aca-mir-5408b
Source: Ensembl
UCCGGGCCUUUCGGACCACAACUCCCACAAUCCUUUGUCAUAGGCUCGACUGGCUGGGGAUUCUGGGAGUUGGAGUCCCAGGGGCCUCAA